RNAcentral lists this ribosomal RNA (112 nucleotides) under Clostridium butyricum. Its description in RNAcentral is "partial 16S ribosomal RNA". It matches the Rfam family "Bacterial small subunit ribosomal RNA", at positions 1 to 116 of the family's 1533-position model. The record is from RNAcentral. Lineage: Bacteria; Bacillati; Bacillota; Clostridia; Eubacteriales; Clostridiaceae.
AUUGAGAGUUUGAUCCUGGCUCAGGACGAACGCUGGCGGCGUGCUUAACACAUGCAAGUCGAGCGAUGAAGCUCCUUCGGGAGUGGAUUAGCGGCGGACGGGUGAGUAACAC